RNAcentral lists this ribosomal RNA (253 nucleotides) under uncultured bacterium. Its description in RNAcentral is "partial 16S ribosomal RNA". It matches the Rfam family "Bacterial small subunit ribosomal RNA", at positions 524 to 776 of the family's 1533-position model. The record is from RNAcentral.
UACAUUGGGUGCAACCGUUGCUCGGAAUUAUUGGGCGUAAAGCGCGCGUAGGCGGUUACUCAAGUCGGAUGUGAAAGCCCUCGGCUUAACUGAGGAAGUGCACCCGAAACUGAGUAGCUAGAGUACCAAAGAGGGUCGCGGAAUUCCCGGUGUAGAGGUGAAAUUCGUAGAUAUCGGGAGGAACACCGGUGGCGAAGGCGGCGACCUGGGUGGAUACUGACGCUGAGGCGCGAAAGCGUGGGGAGCAAACAGG